Molecule: small nuclear RNA, 117 nt
Filed under: Medicago truncatula (barrel medic)
Lineage: Eukaryota; Viridiplantae; Streptophyta; Magnoliopsida; Fabales; Fabaceae
Description: sRNA gene50068
Rfam family: U2 spliceosomal RNA
About the family: U2 is a small nuclear RNA (snRNA) component of the spliceosome (involved in pre-mRNA splicing). Complementary binding between U2 snRNA (in an area lying towards the 5' end but 3' to hairpin I) and the branchpoint sequence (BPS) of the intron results the bulging out of an unpaired adenosine, on the BPS, which initiates a nucleophilic attack at the intronic 5' splice site, thus starting the first of two transesterification reactions that mediate splicing.
Source: Rfam by way of RNAcentral
AUACCUUUCUUUGCCUUUUGCUAAAAUUAAGUGUAAUAUUUGUUCUUAUCAGUUUAAUAUCUGAUAUGUGGUUUAAUGAGUAUAACGAUAUGGAGGGUCUUAUUGUCCAAAGUCUAC